AUUGAACGCUGGCGGCAGGCUUAACACAUGCAAGUCGAGCGGGGUGAUGGUGCUUGCACUAUCACUUAGCGGCGGACGGGUGAGUAAUGCUUAGGAAUCUGCCUAUUAGUGGGGGACAACAUCUCGAAAGGGAUGCUAAUACCGCAUACGUCCUACGGGAGAAAGCAGGGGAUCACUUGUGACCUUGCGCUAAUAAAUGAGCCAAAGUCGGAUUAGCUAGUUGGUGGGGUAAAGGCCUACCAAGGCGACGAUCGGUAGCGGGUCUGAGAGGAUGAUCCGCCACACUGGGACUGAGACACGGCCCAGACUCCUACGGGAGGCAGCAGUGGGGAAUAUUGGACAAUGGGGGGAACCCUGAUCCAGCCAUGCCGCGUGUGUGAAGAAGGCCUUAUGGUUGUAAAGCACUUUAAGCGAGGAGGAGGCUCUUUUGGUUAAUACCCAAGAUGAGUGGACGUUACUCGCAGAAUAAGCACCGGCUAACUCUGUGCCAGCAGCCGCCGUAA
Molecule: ribosomal RNA, 503 nt
Filed under: uncultured bacterium
Lineage: Bacteria
Description: partial 16S ribosomal RNA
Rfam family: Bacterial small subunit ribosomal RNA
Source: RNAcentral